UUCUAGAAGCCUCAUUCCAUUGGUCUUUGAAAGAAAGGGAUCUCCAGAUAACCGGGGCACCGGGCCAUGCAAAACGAACUCACCAAAUGUGUCUGAAAUUUAAGGUGGAAAUGUGGCGACAGUUGUGGAAUGUCUGAGACAAAUACAGAAAUUACCUCGUUUUAUUGAAGAAAAUGUUUUGGGGUUUUACCAAAUCAAAAUCUGACUUUCAUUCGAGAUGCACAAUUGAGAGCAUCCUGUUGGGCUGUAUGACAACCUGGUUCGGGAACUGCUCCGCCCUCAAACGCGAAGGGGUGGUGCGGUAUGCACAACGCAUCACCGGGGACAAACUACCUGCCCUCCAUGACACCUACAGCACAGUCACAGGAAGGCCGAAAAGAUCAACCACCAGAGCCACUGCCUGUUCACCCCGUUAUCAUCCAGAAGGCGAGGAUGUCGGUGGGCGGAGCCAGGAGGGUCGUCAGCGAAAUGGGACACACCUGUGUUCGGGUGUGUCCGGAAUAAAUACAUAUUCCCUGUUAAUUGAGGAGACUCUCCAUGCAGACGCACUGUUGGGUUUUGAUUGUGGCCUUUUUUUUUGUGGCCACCAGUUGCAUUAAGUUCUGUAGUGCAUCUCCUCCUCAUGGACUGCACUACUGUAAAACACUACUGUGUUUUUGUCAAUGCCACUCCUACAUUGCUCAUCCUAAUAUUUAUAUAUUUCUUCCAUUAUUUAACUUUUAGAUUUGUGUGUGUAUUGUUGUGAAUUGUUAGAGAUUACUGCACUGUUGGAGCUAGGAACACAAGCAUUUCGCUACACCCGCAAUAUCAUCUGCUAAAUAUGUGUGUGUCCAAUAAAAUGUGAUUUG
Oncorhynchus keta (chum salmon) is the source of this 848-nucleotide long non-coding RNA. RefSeq lists it as uncharacterized. NCBI's taxonomy places the organism in Eukaryota, Metazoa, Chordata, Actinopteri, Salmoniformes, Salmonidae. The record is from RefSeq and is a predicted model, not a curated record. The transcript is spliced from 3 exons.